AGUCGAACGCGUCUUGGUCAAUGAAGUUGAGUGCUUGCAUUUAACUGAUUUGACAUUAAGACGAGUGGCGAACUGGUGAGUAACACGUGGGUAACUUGCCCCGAAGCGGGGGAUAACAUUUGGAAACAGGUGCUAAUACCGCAUAACAACAAAAACCACAUGGUUUUUGUUUAAAAGAUGGUUUCGGCUAUCACUUUGGGAUGGACCCGCGGCGUAUUAGCUAGUUGGUGAGGUAAUGGCUCACCAAGGCAAUGAUACGUAGCCGACCUGAGAGGGUAAUCGGCCACAUUGGGACUGAGACACGGCCCAAACUCCUACGGGAGGCAGCAGUAGGGAAUCUUCCACAAUGGACGAAAGUCUGAUGGAGCAACGCCGCGUGAGUGAUGAAGGGUUUCGGCUCGUAAAACUCUGUUGUUGGAGAAGAACGGGUGUCAGAGUAACUGUUGACAUCGUGACGGUAUCCAACCAGAAAGCCACGGCUAACUACGUGCCAGCAGCCGCGGUAAUACGUAGGUGGCAAGCGUUGUCCGGAUUUAUUGGGCGUAAAGCGAGCGCAGGCGGUUUUUUAGGUCUGAUGUGAAAGCCUUCGGCUUAACCGGAGAAGUGCAUCGGAAACCGGGAGACUUGAGUGCAGAAGAGGACAGUGGAACUCCAUGUGUAGCGGUGAAAUGCGUAGAUAUAUGGAAGAACACCAGUGGCGAAGGCGGCUGUCUGGUCUGCAACUGACGCUGAGGCUCGAAAGCAUGGGUAGCGAACAGGAUUAGAUACCCUGGUAGUCCAUGCCGUANACGAUGAGUGCUAAGUGUUGGAGGGUUUCCGCCCUUCAGUGCUGCAGCUAACGCA
This 843-nucleotide ribosomal RNA is filed under the name uncultured bacterium. RNAcentral's name for it is "bacterial SSU rRNA". It matches the Rfam family "Bacterial small subunit ribosomal RNA", at positions 60 to 859 of the family's 1533-position model. The record is from RNAcentral.